CAAGUACCAUGAGGGAAAGAUGAAAAGGACUUUGAAAAGAGAGUUAAAAGUGCCUGAACUCGCUGAAAGGAAAGCGGAUGGAACCAGUCGUGCUUGGCGAGAUUGUUGCGUGCAAAGGUGACUGCUCACUGCUCGUAGCGUAAGCGCAGCAGCGGGUUUCGAUCUGGUCGCGCGCGAUGCUUCUUGCCUUGUUCGUCAUCGUUGGUUUGGAGGCGCGGACAACUCUUGGGACAUGGUAACUCGCCCACGGGCGAGCGAAUGUGCCUUGCAGAACUCACCUCCAAACUGAUGUCUCUUGUUAGGUUCUGUUGCCGUACGCGGCACGUUCUUGACAAAGCGUGGUGACAGAAUGGUUCUAUUCGACCCGUCUUGAAACACGGACCAAGGAGUCUAACAUAUGUGCGAGUUCCUGGGUGUCGAAGCCUACGCGCGCAAUGAAAGUGAUAACUGAGAAUCUUGCACCAGCAGCCGACCGAUCAAUCGGGGAGAGGUUUUGAGCAUGAGCAUAUCUGUUAGGACCCCGAAAAGAUGGUGAACUAUGCCUGUGAAGGGGUGAAAGUCUGGGGAAAACUCUGAUGGAGGCUCGUAGCGAUACUGACGUGC
RNAcentral lists this ribosomal RNA (603 nucleotides) under Gymnodiniaceae sp. ZH-2018a. Its description in RNAcentral is "partial large subunit ribosomal RNA". It matches the Rfam family "Eukaryotic large subunit ribosomal RNA", at positions 345 to 894 of the family's 3401-position model. Lineage: Eukaryota; Dinophyceae; Gymnodiniales; Gymnodiniaceae. The record is from RNAcentral.